Small nuclear RNA from Eublepharis macularius, 108 nucleotides. The record is from RefSeq and is a predicted model, not a curated record. Lineage: Eukaryota; Metazoa; Chordata; Lepidosauria; Squamata; Eublepharidae.
GUGCUUGGUUUGACAGCACAUAUACUAAAAUCGGAAUGGAAUAGAGAAGAUUUACAUUGCUUCUGAGCAAAGAUGACACACAAAUUAAUGGAGGAAUGGCAUAUCAAU